This 510-nucleotide ribosomal RNA is filed under the name uncultured bacterium. RNAcentral describes it as "partial 16S ribosomal RNA". It matches the Rfam family "Bacterial small subunit ribosomal RNA", at positions 28 to 507 of the family's 1533-position model. The record is from RNAcentral.
GACGAACGCUGGCGGCGUGCUUAACACAUGCAAGUCGAACGAAGGGCGACGGAAGCUUGCUUCUAUCAAUCUUAGUGGCGAAUGGGUGAGUAACGCGUAAUCAACCUGCCCUUCAGAGGGGGACAACAGUUGGAAACGACUGCUAAUACCGCAUACGAUCUAAUCUCGGCAUCGAGGAUGGAUGAAAGGUGGCCUCUACAUGUAAGCUAUCACUGAAGGAGGGGAUUGCGUCUGAUUAGCUAGUUGGAGGGGUAACGGCCCACCAAGGCGAUGAUCAGUAGCCGGUCUGAGAGGAUGAACGGCCACAUUGGGACUGAGACACGGCCCAGACUCCUACGGGAGGCAGCAGUGGGGAAUCUUCCGCAAUGGACGAAAGUCUGACGGAGCAACGCCGCGUGAGUGAUGACGGCCUUCGGGUUGUAAAGCUCUGUUAAUCGGGACGAAAGGCCUUCUUGCGAAUAGUGAGAAGGAUUGACGGUACCGGAAUAGAAAGCCACGGCUAACUACGUG